This 332-nucleotide ribosomal RNA is filed under the name uncultured eukaryote. RNAcentral's name for it is "partial 18S ribosomal RNA". It matches the Rfam family "Eukaryotic small subunit ribosomal RNA", at positions 1470 to 1796 of the family's 1831-position model. The record is from RNAcentral.
CCCUUAGAUGUUCUGGGCUGCACCCGUGCUACACUGGCAGGUUCAGCGAGCUUCAUGCCCUGAUCUGAAAGGAAUGGGAAAUCUUUUCAAAACCUGCCGUGCUUGGGAUAGAUGUUUGCAAUUAUUCAUCUUCAACGAGGAUUGCCUUGUAAGCGCACGCCAUCAGCGUGCAUUGAAUACGACCCUGUAUUCUGUACACACCGCCCGUCGCUCCUACCGAUUGAAGUUUUCGGUGAGUUGACAGGAGGAUUUUUUUGAAACUGGUUCGCCAGUGGAUUUUAGAUCCAAAUGCCAACGAAUCGAUGGCUUUAGAGGAAGGAGAAGUCGUAACA